Molecule: transfer RNA, 73 nt
Filed under: Deltaproteobacteria bacterium
Lineage: Bacteria; Pseudomonadati; Myxococcota; Myxococcia
Description: tRNA-Trp
Rfam family: tRNA
About the family: Transfer RNA (tRNA) molecules are approximately 80 nucleotides in length. Their secondary structure includes four short double-helical elements and three loops (D, anti-codon, and T loops). Further hydrogen bonds mediate the characteristic L-shaped molecular structure. tRNAs have two regions of fundamental functional importance: the anti-codon, which is responsible for specific mRNA codon recognition, and the 3' end, to which the tRNAs corresponding amino acid is attached (by aminoacyl-tRNA synthetases). tRNAs cope with the degeneracy of the genetic code in two manners: having more than one tRNA (with a specific anti-codon) for a particular amino acid; and 'wobble' base-pairing, i.e. permitting non-standard base-pairing at the 3rd anti-codon position.
Source: RNAcentral
GGGUCAGUAGCUCAACUGGUAGAGCAACGGUCUCCAAAACCGUGGGCUGAGGGUUCGAGUCCUUCCUGGCCCG